RNAcentral lists this ribosomal RNA (535 nucleotides) under Collessicoris bellissimus. RNAcentral describes it as "partial 16S ribosomal RNA". It matches the Rfam family "Bacterial large subunit ribosomal RNA", at positions 1796 to 2605 of the family's 2925-position model. The record is from RNAcentral. Lineage: Eukaryota; Metazoa; Arthropoda; Insecta; Hemiptera; Miridae.
UCGCCUGUUUAUCAAAAACAUGGUCUUUUGUUUAUAUAAAAGAUUUGACCUGCCCGGUGAUUUAUUAAAUGGCUGCAGUAUAUUGACUGUACAAAGGUAGCAUAAUCACUUGUCUCUUAAUUGGAGUCUAGAAUGAAUGGUUGGAUGAAAAGUUUACUUUCUUUUUUUUAAUAUAAUAAAAUUUAAUUUUUGAAUUAAAAAGUUUAAAUUAUAAUAGAGGACGAGAAGACCCUAUAGAACUUUAUUUUUUUAUAUUAAUUAUUUUUUUGAUUAUAAUUUUCUAUUAAUAAAUAGAAAAUUAUGUUGGGGUGACAGGAAAAAACUAAUAACUUUUUUAAUUUUUUUCAUUUAUUUAUGAAUAUAUAAUCCCUUUUUAGGGAAGAAAGAUUAAGUUACCUUAGGGAUAACAGCGUUAUUAUUCUAGAGAGUUCAUAUUGAUAGAAUAGUUUGCGACCUCGAUGUUGGAUUAAAAUUAGUUUCAGGAGCAGAAAAUUGAAUAACUAGGUCUGUUCGACCUUUAAAUUUUUACAUGAUC